Molecule: transfer RNA, 76 nt
Filed under: Opitutia bacterium
Lineage: Bacteria; Pseudomonadati; Verrucomicrobiota; Opitutia
Description: tRNA-Trp
Rfam family: tRNA
About the family: Transfer RNA (tRNA) molecules are approximately 80 nucleotides in length.
Source: RNAcentral
AGGACAGUAGCUCAAUAGGUAGAGUAGCGGUCUCCAAAACCGUCGGUUGGGGGUUCGAGUCCCUCCUGUCCUGCCA